AGCUCCAAUAGCGUAUAUUAAAGUUGUUGCGGUUAAAAAGCUCGUAGUUGGAUUUCUGUGGAAAACGUCCGGUCCGCACUUCGUGCGUGUAUCUGGCACGGUUUCUGCAUCCUCGCGGGGAACGUUUGCGCUUCAUUGCGUGGGCGGGAUUCGUGACUUUUACUUUGAGGAAAUUAGAGUGUUCACGGCAGGCUUUCGCCUUGAAUACAUUAGCAUGGAAUAAUAAUAUAGGACCUUGGUUCUAUUUUGUUGGUUUCUAGAACUAAGGUAAUGAUUAAUAGGGAUAAUUGGGGGCAUUCGUAUUAACGCGUCAGAGGUGGAAUUCUUGGAUUGCGUUACGACGAACUACUGCGAAAGCAUUUGCCAAGGAUGUUUUCA
Molecule: ribosomal RNA, 378 nt
Filed under: uncultured eukaryote
Lineage: Eukaryota
Description: SSU rRNA
Rfam family: Eukaryotic small subunit ribosomal RNA
Source: RNAcentral